UACAGAGGGGGCAAGCGUUAUUCGGAAUUAUUGGGCGUAAAGGGCGCGUAGGCGGCUUUGCAAGUGACGGGUGAAAUCCCUCGGCUUAACCGAGGAACUGCCUGUCAAACUGCAUGGCUUGAGACCAGGAGAGGUGAGUGGAAUUCCCAGUGUAGCGGUGAAAUGCGUAGAUAUUGGGAGGAACACCAGUGGCGAAGGCGGCUCACUGGACCGGUUCUGACGCUGAGGCGCGAAAGCGUGGGGAGCAAACGGG
RNAcentral lists this ribosomal RNA (253 nucleotides) under uncultured bacterium. RNAcentral's name for it is "partial 16S ribosomal RNA". It matches the Rfam family "Bacterial small subunit ribosomal RNA", at positions 524 to 776 of the family's 1533-position model. The record is from RNAcentral.